AAUACUAUUAAACUGGCGAACGGGUGAGUAACGCGUAGGCGACCUGCCCUAUAGUUUGGAAUAACCUCGUGAAAAUGGGGCUAAUACCAGAUAAUAUUGUAAAAUCAAAGGAGGACUCCCUUCGGGGAUCUUUCGCUAUAGGAUGGGCCUGCGUCUGAUUAGCUAGAUGGUAAGGUAAAUGCUUACCAUGGCAAUGAUCAGUAGUUGGUCUGAGAGGAUGAUCAGCCACACUGGGACUGAGAUACGGCCCAGACUCCUACGGGAGGCAGCAGUGAGGAAUUUUGCGCAAUGGGCGAAAGCCUGACGCAGCAACGCCGCGUGAUCGAAGAAGCUUUGCGGAGUGUAAAGAUCUGUCAUAAGGGAAGAAUAGUAUGUAUUCUAACACAAUACAUACCUGACGGUACCUUAUAAGAAAGCACCGGCUAACUAUGUGCCAGCAGCCGCGGUAAUACAUGGGGUGCAAGCGUUGUCCGGAUUUAUUGGGCGUAAAGGGUUCGUAGGUGGAUCAGUCAGUCAAAAUUGAAAUCCAAUGGCUUAACCAUUGUCACGGUUUUGAUACUACUGAUCUUGAGUUAAAUAGAGGUAAGUGGAAUUCCUGGUGUAGCGGUGAAAUGCGUAGAUAUCAGGAGGAACGCCAAAGGAGAAGUCAGCUUACUGGAUUUAUACUGACACUGAGGAACGAAAGCGUGGGUAGCAAACAGGAUUAGAGACCCUGGUAGUCCACGCUGUAAACGAUGAGCACUAGAUGGUGGGUGAUUCGACCCUCUCACUGUUACAGUUAACGCAUUAA
Molecule: ribosomal RNA, 790 nt
Filed under: uncultured Fibrobacteres/Acidobacteria group bacterium
Lineage: Bacteria; Pseudomonadati
Description: bacterial SSU rRNA
Rfam family: Bacterial small subunit ribosomal RNA
Source: RNAcentral